GGAAUUUUGGGCAAUGGGCGAAAGCCCGACCCAGCAACGUCGCGUGAAGGAUGAAGUCUCUAGGGAUGUAAACUUCGGACAUAUAGGAAGAAUAAAUGACGGUACUAUAUCUAAGGUCCGGCUAACUACGUGCCAGCAGCCGCGGUAAUAAGUAGGGACCAAGCGUUGUUCGGAUUUACUGGGAGUAAAGGGUGCGUAGGCGGCGUAUCAAGUCACUUGUGAAAUAUCCGGGCUUAACUCGGAACAGCCAAGUGAUACUGAUGUGCUAGAGUGCAGAAAGGGCAACUGGAAUUCUUGGUGUAGCGGUGAAAUGCGUAGAUAUCAAGAGGAACACCUGAGGCGAAGGCGAGUUGCUAGGCUGACACUGACGCUGAAGUACGAAAGCUAGGGGAGCGAAC
RNAcentral lists this ribosomal RNA (398 nucleotides) under uncultured bacterium. RNAcentral describes it as "bacterial SSU rRNA". It matches the Rfam family "Bacterial small subunit ribosomal RNA", at positions 358 to 773 of the family's 1533-position model. The record is from RNAcentral.